GAAAAUGCGGUUGCUCCGGCUGCACUAUCCGUAAUCAAACUCGAACUGGAACGUGUCCGUGAACUGCCAAUUAAAUGCUCAUCCAAGGGAAGCCUAUAACCCUCUUUAUCGUUUAGAGUCUCUACAAACGAUCUAGUCAUAGACAAAGAGCCAGGUCCCAUUCCUUUAAAAAAAGUCAGUCACCGAGAAAUAUUGUAAAAAAAAGGAAGAUUCCGUCCCAGUGCUCUAAAUAUAAAAAAAAUCAUUUUCCUUCAAAAGAGCAACGGAUUUAUGAGAGAGCUUACUCCAAUCACUUACCGUCAGAAACCAUCAUAAUAACAAAUUUUGGUUUCUCAUUGGUCCCUUUGGACUUAUGAGACGAGAAAAAAUAAAAAAAUAUAACGGUUGAUAAAACAAGG
Molecule: non-coding RNA, 398 nt
Organism: Schizosaccharomyces pombe (fission yeast)
Lineage: Eukaryota; Fungi; Ascomycota; Schizosaccharomycetes; Schizosaccharomycetales; Schizosaccharomycetaceae
Source: the annotation of a GenBank genome assembly